GAGGGGGCUUUCCUUUUAAUAUUCCCCGCAGAUCUCCUCAGAGCUGCCACAUGGCCUCUGCACGCAGCUUAAUCUGCAUUUGAGUGAGACUGCCCUACAAGGAUGCGGCAGUAAUCCUUAAGGCAUCUUACAAAGUGGGGAAGAAAUCCCACAACAGUUCUUGCAUCGCCUGUGUAGGCCCCCAGAGCACCUAUCUCUUACCUGAGGGUACAGCAUGAGGUGGGCCCUGAGGUUAUUUCAGGAUCCGGCCCUGGUUGUCCCUGGUGGGUUUGUGGCGCAUGCCAGGGUGGCAGUGGGGAGAGGCUUCUGACGCUCCGGCCUUCGGAUGACUGAGCAUCGGCACUUGCCAGGGGGAAGGCUAGGAAGGAGUGGAGCCUGCGCAAAGCCAGCUCUGAGCCUGCGGCAGUGCAGUGGAAACUUACUCUGGCACUCGCCGCCCGCUGAGCAGAGCAGAGCAGAGCAGAGCAACGCUUGUGCUGCACGCCCAACCAAUUGCAGGCUGGGGCACAGUGGUUCACACCCCUCCCAAGGUGCUCAGCUCAACUGCCAAGGAGGCCAGUAGCAGAGAAAAGGAGGGCAGGGUAGGCCAUAACAGGUCAGAGCGCAACGCGGCAGGGCAGUUCUAUUAGCCCCGUCGACUCUCUCACCUCGAGGAGUGUGGUGAGGGGGGCUGUAGAGAGUCCACUCCUAGCGCAGGCCGGACCGCUGAGGAGGGAAUAGAAAUGCUCUCAUCUUGUAUCGCCGGCGCUCACAGGAGGCAAGGUGCUGUGCUGUGUGAAGCACCAAAGAGACUGUUACUAAGAGGACUGAGAGCAGAGCACUGGUGAAGAAAGUGAGUCAUGUUAUGUGCGUGUGUGUGCGUGUCUGAGUGUGUGUGUGUGUGCAUGUGUGUGCGUGUCUGAGUAUGUGUGUGUGUGCUCGUUUACAUUUCAGUUCAAAAGGCCCUGCACGCUCUCAGUUCUCUCUGAAAGUUUCAUUUUUCUCGCUCACCUCAAAAUGUCUGUUACGGCUCUGCAGCCCAAUGUAGCCCCUCAGAGGAACUAUGUUGAGUGUGGUGUCUUCAAACACACACACACACACACCAGACACACACACACACACACACACACAUUCUUUCUCUCACAGACACACACACAC
Alosa sapidissima (American shad) is the source of this 1137-nucleotide long non-coding RNA. RefSeq lists it as uncharacterized. NCBI's taxonomy places the organism in Eukaryota, Metazoa, Chordata, Actinopteri, Clupeiformes, Clupeidae. The record is from RefSeq and is a predicted model, not a curated record. The transcript is spliced from 4 exons.